UACGGAGGGUGCAAACGUUGCUCGGAAUUAUUGGGCGUAAAGCGCACGUAGGCGGCCUGAUAAGUCGGGUGUGAAAGCCCUGGGCUCAACCCAGGAAGUGCACUCGAAACUGUCAGGCUUGAAUAUGGAAGAGGGUCGCGGAAUUCCCGGUGUAGUGGUGGAAUGCGUAGAUAUCGGGAGGAACACCAGUGGCGAAGGCGGUUGCCUGGGGCUUUGCUGACGCUGAUGCGCGAAAGCGUGGGGAGCGAUCCGG
RNAcentral lists this ribosomal RNA (253 nucleotides) under uncultured bacterium. RNAcentral describes it as "partial 16S ribosomal RNA". It matches the Rfam family "Bacterial small subunit ribosomal RNA", at positions 524 to 776 of the family's 1533-position model. The record is from RNAcentral.